AUGGACUUCCGUGGUAGAAUCUACCGUUCAGGUGUAUUGCAUUUUCAUGAGCGUGAUUUGUCAAAAAGUUUAUUACUCUUUUCUGCCGAUCAUCCUCAACCUCAAGCACAAAACCACCUGUCGGAAAAAAAGAAUCUCAGUCAACACUUAGCAUGUGCUGCAGCCUUUAAGUAUCCAAAGUUCUCGAACUUAGAUGAUGCCCUUAAAUGGUAUAACGAACACCAGACUGAAAUGUUUACUUCGGACGAAAGUUUCAUUCAAUUUGCUGCGCAAGCUAGUGAUCCAUUUUUUUUCAUAGCCAAGAUCCUUUCUCAGGAUGAAGGAGUGAGUAAUUAUCAUCAGGUUCCAGUGACCCAAGAUGCGAGUGCGAGUGCAUAUCAAAUUAUGAGUUAUCUCUUGCUUAACUUAGAAAUGGGUAGGAGAACGAAUCUUCUUCCAUCUUAA
RNAcentral lists this ribosomal RNA (444 nucleotides) under Triticum aestivum (bread wheat). RNAcentral describes it as "partial small subunit ribosomal RNA". Lineage: Eukaryota; Viridiplantae; Streptophyta; Magnoliopsida; Poales; Poaceae. The record is from RNAcentral.